AGAGUUUGAUCCUGGCUCAGGAUGAACGCUAGCGGGAGGCCUAACACAUGCAAGUCGAACGGGAUCCCCGAGCAAUCGGGGUGAGAGUGGCGCACGGGUGAGUAACGCGUAUGCAACCUACCUGUAACAGAGGGAUAGCCCAUAGAAAUGUGGAUUAACACCUCAUAGUUCUUAUUAGUCGCAUGACUGACAAGAUAAAACUCCGGUGGUUACAGAUGGGCAUGCGUGACAUUAGCUAGUUGGUAAGGUAACGGCUCACCAAGACAUCGAUAGGUAGGGGUCCUGAGAGGGAGAUCCCCCACACUGGUACUGAGACACGGACCAGACUCCUACGGGAGGCAGCAGUGAGGAAUAUUGGACAAUGGGCGCAAGCCUGAUCCAGCCAUGCCGCGUGCAGGAAGACGGCCCUAUGGGUGUAAACUUCUUUUAUCUGGGACGAAAAGGCGAUUCUUCGUCACUUGACGGUACCAGAUGAAUAAGCACCGGCUAACUCCGUGCCAGCA
Molecule: ribosomal RNA, 503 nt
Filed under: uncultured bacterium
Lineage: Bacteria
Description: bacterial SSU rRNA
Rfam family: Bacterial small subunit ribosomal RNA
Source: RNAcentral